This 236-nucleotide ribosomal RNA is filed under the name uncultured archaeon. Its description in RNAcentral is "partial 16S ribosomal RNA". It matches the Rfam family "Archaeal small subunit ribosomal RNA", at positions 639 to 874 of the family's 1478-position model. The record is from RNAcentral.
CCUGUAAUCCUCGAGGGACCACCUGUGGCGAAGGCGCCUCACCAGAACGGCUUCGACAGUGAGGGACGAAAGCUGGGGGAGCAAACCGGAUUAGAUACCCGGGUAGUCCCAGCCGUAAACUAUGCGCGUUAGGUGUAUCGGUGACCACGAGUUACCGAGGUGCCGAAGGGAAACCGUGAAACGUGCCGCCUGGGAAGUACGGUCGCAAGGCUGAAACUUAAAGGAAUUGGCGGGAA